UUAGAUAUGUGAGGGGGAUGCUGGUUUUUGGCAAGAAGUCUUUUUCGAGCGGGUUUCUGCAUAUUGUGCCUCAUGUAAGUACCUUGGCCAUUAUGUGGAUACAGACUAUAUUGCUAAUCCUGGGCUUUGUAAGCCUAAUCAACCUAUUGGUGAGUCCAAGGGAAUCGUGACCUAAGAUAAGGUAAAUUACUAGUUUCAGAAGCUAUUGUUUAGUCUCGGGUUCCCUAUGUUUAGCAAUACAUUAUCAUAGCUGAUAAUCAGCCUCAAGUGCUGAAUUUAUAGCCUUUUGUGGAUUAGGGUCAGAGUUUGGGAUCUACUUUGCCUAUUUCUAUAGAGUCUCGUCCAUUGAGGCCUAAAAUCCCUAAUAAAAAUCCUUUAGCUCCUAGCGUUUCAUCUCCUACUGGCCAGAGUUUGAAGAUUGAUUAGGUUCAGCCUUCUAAUGCUAUCAAUGUUGUCUUGAAUGCCCCAGCUAAUCAUCCGAGGCCUAUGGGCGACCAUUUAUGUGUGGCGCUUAAAUCAUAUUGCACUAAUAUUCUUAGAUUUAUUGAUGAGGAGGGUGAUGGUCGUUUAGGUUUAUCUCGCUCAGAUGGGGAUGCUGUUUCUGAUGAUUGGGUUUCCAAUGAUGAGUGUCGAUUUUUGAAUGAUCUAGAGGACAUUCAUACUCCUCUGGCCCCAGAUGUAGUUAUUGAUAGCUUUGAUGGCCAGAGGGUUGCCACUUCACCUUAUGAUUUUUUUUUUUGUUACAAGUCGUAAGUACCGUAACACUCGUAAGUAGAUGCAUUCUUGCUCAUCCACCCAUAAUGAUUAAUUCACUUAUCUAGAAUAUUAGGGGGAUUAGUAAGGCCCCACGGUCCGCAGAUUGUGGAAGUUAAUUCGGUUGCAUCGAUUGUCUUUGAUUUAUGUGUUAGAGCCUUUUAUUUAUGCUGACUGGUUAUAAGCUAUUUAGGUUCAGCUUGGGAUAGAUCAUGCUUUCUCUUAUCACUUUGGAAAGAUCUAGGUUUUUUGGUCUAUGCCUUUUUUGGUAGAGCGCUUACACGAUAUGGGUCAGGUGAUUCAUUAUCGGGUUAGUCAUUCUCUUUUUCCUAACCCUAUGUUUUUUUUUUCAUGUGUAUGUUAGUCAUUCUAUACAUAUGUAAGAGGAUUUAUGGGAUGCCCUUGUGACUUUUACUGAUAGUCAUAAUUGAUCUUGGAUUGUGGGGGAGGGGAUUUUAAUGUUGUACAGUCUGUUUCGGAGAUCUCUAGUAAGCAUGCCCAACUCCAUGAGGCUAUUGAUGCUUUUAGUUUAACAUUACUAGACUGUGGUUUAGAGGAUACUGGAUUUGUUGGCGGUCCAUUCACUUGGACUAGGGCAUAUAUGGAAGUGGCUUGAUAGGGUGCCUAUUGGUAUGCAUUUUUCUUUAUUUUCGAGUCACACACCUGAAUUGUAUUGCUUCAGAUCGUUCUCCUUUGCUUUUAUCUUAGAUAGAGAUGUGCCUAAUCGGCCUUCCAAGUUUAAGUUUUUGCAUGCGUGGCUUAAACAUCCUUUUCUUGAUGUUGUGUGACAAUCUUAGGCUGCUUCAGUGGUUGGUUUUGGGAUGAGAGCUUUUCAGUAGAAGCUUGUCCACUUUAACUUGAAAGUAUAGAAUAAGGAUGUGUUUGGUAAUGUCUUUUCUCAGGUUAAGGAGGUAGAAAAAGAUGUUGCUUAGAAGGAGAUCUUUCUGGUUCUGCUCUAGACAGAGCUAUCUUUUCUUUGGCUUGGGCUUGGUUACAACACGCAUUUCUUUGUAAGGAGAUUUUUUUUUACGUCAGCAGUCUAGUGUCCGUAAGGUUCGAAAGUGGGAUGCUAAUACCUGCUUUUUCCAUGCGAUGAUUCAGAAGAAACGCCAGCUGUUUCAUAUCCAUCGGAUUCAGGAUGCUUCUUCAGAGUGGAUUUCUAAGCCGUUUGUCGAUGUUGCUUUCACAAUUGAUUUUUUUGAGGGGUUGUUGGUAGGAUGUGGUAGUUAGUUUCAGCAGACAGAUUUUGAUUUUGUUUUGUUUUUAAGGACAAUAGAAAAUGAUGUGGGUUUGUGUAGAGAGCCGAAUAUAGAUGAGAUUUGGCAGGUGGUUUUUCCUAUUGAUCCUGAUAGUGCUUCUGGUCCGGAUGGGUUUUGCAGUAAAUUUUACCAGUCAUGCUAGGAUAUUAUUUGUAACAAUUUACUAGAUACCAUUCUCGAUUAUUUCAAAGGUUCGGCUAUGCCCAAGGGUUUUCAGAGUAUAUAUAUUUUUUUGAUAUUAAUCACGAGGUAUCCUGGGGAGAGCCCCAACUGUGGGAGACACCUUUAAGCCCGUACCACAACCCAGACUAGAAGUCCCCGCUCGAACCGGGAGGCACAGGUUCUCCCAACAAAGGUGACUUCCCUGCGACUCGAACUCGAACCGGGAGGCACAGGUUUUCAGAGUAUAUUAUUUGUUCUUUUUCCUAAGAAGCAUUCUCUAGCUUCUUAGGCAUACUUUCAUCCAAUUUGACUUUGUAAUGUGAGCAACAAGCAACAAGGUUUUGACCAAGUUGCUUAUGUUGACAUUGGCUCCUCUGCGGCCUCAUAUUAUUUCUCUUAGUCAUAGUGGUUUAAUCUUUGGUCGGGUGAUUCAUAACUUCCUUUUUGUUCAGGUACUCAUUCAUGAUCUCAACCAUCGCACUCGGGGGAGUAAUGUAGUGUUGAAGCUUGAUAUGGCCAAGACUUAUGAUCGUACAUCUUGGCCUUUUAUUAUUCAGAUGUUGUGGCGUUUUGGUGUUUUAAGCAGUGGGUUUCUCUGAUUUGGCAUGAUAUCUAUGGGUGUUUAUUUUGGUAUUCUCCCUUUGGCUGCGCUAGCUGUUCCUCACAUUAGACACUAGUAUUAAUGGUUUUCCUUUUCUUUUUUCCGUUUUUAUUUAUUUUUGGUUAUUUGUAUGUAUUUUUAGUUACUCUUGGAGGUUUUGAAUUAUGUCCCCCGUCUUGUGCAUCUGCUUCAUUUCAUGAUUUAUAUUAUAGGUAGAAAUCCCGCCUAACCCCCCACCUUUCAGUGGUUUUUAAUUAAAAAAAAUUAUCUCACCAACUGUAAGCA
RNAcentral lists this long non-coding RNA (3060 nucleotides) under Citrus maxima (pomelo). Its description in RNAcentral is "long non-coding RNA (CMAX_LNC002774)". Lineage: Eukaryota; Viridiplantae; Streptophyta; Magnoliopsida; Sapindales; Rutaceae. The record is from RNAcentral.